CAUAAACAACAAAGUUAACUUAAUGGAAAUCGGCGUUAAUCGUGGCUAUUAUAUUUGCGCAGCAGAACAACAUUUUUGUUAAGGAAAUCAGGUGACGAGAGCCACAUAAAAGCGGCUCGUUAACUUAAAAGAAAAUCGAACUGCAAAAUAGUAAACAGAGAAAGAAAGACUUGGAACUGUAUAACAGUUGUAUAACAGUUGUAUAACAGGUGUAUAACACUUAUGCCGUAUAACAGUUAACCAAUUCCGGGAGCUUUACGUGAUGGUCAGAAAAUAGCUGUAGAUAUACAUAGGUGGGGCACGAAAAGUGAGAAAGGAAAUAACAACAGGAAAAUCGAAAGGAAAAGUCAACGGAAAAGCGUUAUACAAAACGAAAGUAUGGGGGCCAGGCAUGCUAACCUGGACUCAGCGGAAAUUCGGGCGGCUCGGCAUGAUCCGUGUCUGGACUGGAACGACCCUGGCUACUACUGCCACAACAACUACUCACUGGAGACGAUCUAUGAGUUGGUGUUA
Drosophila montana is the source of this 513-nucleotide long non-coding RNA. RefSeq lists it as uncharacterized. The record is from RefSeq and is a predicted model, not a curated record. The transcript is spliced from 4 exons. NCBI's taxonomy places the organism in Eukaryota, Metazoa, Arthropoda, Insecta, Diptera, Drosophilidae.